CCUACGGGAGGCUGCAGUGAGGAAUAUUGGUCAAUGGACGAGAGUCUGAACCAGCCAAGUAGCGUGAAGGAUGACUGCCCUAUGGGUUGUAAACUUCUUUUAUACGGGAAUAAAACGUUCCACGUGUGGGAUUUUGUAUGUACCAUAUGAAUAAGGAUCGGCUAACUCCGGGCCAGCAGCCGCGGUAAUACGGAGGAUCCGAGCGUUAUCCGGAUUUAUUGGGUUUAAAGGGAGCGUAGGUGGAUUGUUAAGUCAGUUGUGAAAGUUUGCGGCUCAACCGUAAAAUUGCAGUUGAAACUGGCAGUCUUGAGUACAGUAGAGGUGGGCGGAAUUCGUGGUGUAGCGGUGAAAUGCUUAGAUAUCACGAAGAACUCCGAUUGCGAAGGCAGUUCACUGGACUGCAACUGACACUGAGGCUCGAAAGUGUGGGUAUCAAACAGGAUUAGAUACCCUAGUAGUC
RNAcentral lists this ribosomal RNA (460 nucleotides) under uncultured bacterium. RNAcentral describes it as "partial 16S ribosomal RNA". It matches the Rfam family "Bacterial small subunit ribosomal RNA", at positions 338 to 795 of the family's 1533-position model. The record is from RNAcentral.